This 237-nucleotide ribosomal RNA is filed under the name uncultured bacterium. Its description in RNAcentral is "partial 16S ribosomal RNA". It matches the Rfam family "Bacterial small subunit ribosomal RNA", at positions 100 to 334 of the family's 1533-position model. The record is from RNAcentral.
UGGGCGGGACGGGUGAGUAAUGUCUGGGAAACUGCCCGAUGGAGGGGGAUAACUACUGGAAACGGUAGCUAAUACCGCAUAACGUCGCAAGACCAAAGAGGGGGACCUUAGGGCCUCUUGCCAUCGGAUGUGCCCAGAUGGGAUUAGCUAGUAGGUGGGGUAACGGCUCACCUAGGCGACGAUCCCUAGCUGGUCUGAGAGGAUGACCAGCCACACUGGAACUGAGACACGGUCCAG